This 86-nucleotide transfer RNA is filed under the name Limnoglobus roseus. Its description in RNAcentral is "tRNA-Asp". The record is from RNAcentral. Lineage: Bacteria; Pseudomonadati; Planctomycetota; Planctomycetia; Gemmatales; Gemmataceae.
UUGCCGAGGGCCACGCGGAGUUGCCCGGCGUUAUCGGUGACGGCGAUGUCCUGUUUGCCGUCGCCGUUCAAGUCGGCGACGACGAG